Molecule: ribosomal RNA, 1177 nt
Filed under: uncultured Dinobryon
Lineage: Eukaryota; Chrysophyceae; Chromulinales
Description: partial Bacterial large subunit ribosomal RNA
Rfam family: Bacterial large subunit ribosomal RNA
Source: RNAcentral
GAACCGGUUGACGUUGAAAAGUCUUCGGAUGACCUGUGGGUAGGGGUGAAAGGCCAAUCAAACUGAGAGAUAGCUCGUUCUCCCCGAAAUGUUUUUAGGAACAGCCUCGGAUAUAGAAGUUUACUAGAGGUAGAGCUACUGAUUGGGCUAGGGGGCUUCACCGCCUACCAAACCCUGACAAACUCCGAAUGCUAGUAAAUAUCUCCGGGAGUGAGGCUGCGGGUGCUAAGAUCCGUGGCCGAGAGGGAAAUAACCCAGAUUAGCAGCUAAGGUCCCUAAGCGUAUGUUAAGUUGAUCAAACGAGGUGGAGUUUCUAUAACAGCCAGGAUGUUGGCUUGGAAGCAGCCAUUCAUUUAAAGAGUGCGUAACAGCUCACUGGUCGAGAGACUCUGCACGGAAAAUAAUCGGGCAUCAAACAUACCACCGAAGCUCUAAGAUUGCCGCCAGGCGGUAUAUCGGUAGGGGAGCAUUCUGAUCUGCGUCGAAGGUGUGAGGCGACUCAUGCUGGAGCGGUCAGAAACGAAAAUGUAGGCAUAAGUAGCGAUAAAAGUAGUGAAAAACUACUUCACCGUAAGACUAAGGGUUCCUGAUCAACGUUAAUCGGAUCAGGGUUAGUCGGGUCCUUAGGCAAACCCGAAAGGGGCAGCUGAUGGCAAACUGGUUAAUAUUCCAGUACCCGCUUUAGUUUCGAUGGGGUGACGGGGUAGUGAACAACCUGCGAGGCAACGGAUGUUCUCGUUAAAGCGUGUAGUUAUAUCUUUUAUAGGCAAAUCCGUAAGAGAUGGCGAACGUGAUAGUACUCGGAAGCUUCGGCCGAAGAGAUAAUGGUUCUAAUCAUACCCCCGAGAAAAACCUCUAAGGUUAGGCUAAAGCGGCCCGUACCGUAAACCGACACAGGUAGUCGAGGAGAAUAUCCUAAGGUGCUCGGGUGAGCCGCGGAGAAGGAACUAGGCAAAUUGAUGCUGUAACUUCGGGAUAAAGCAUACCACACUAUGUGUGGUCUCAGUAAAAUGGUUCAACCAACUGUUUAACAAAAACACAGGGCCCUGCAAAAUCGUAAGAUGACGUAUAGAGCCUGAUACCUGCCCGGUGCUGGAAGGUUAAGAGGAGAGGUGCAAGCUUUGAAUCGAAGCCCCAGUAAACGGCGGCCGUAACAAUAACGGUCCUAAGGUAGCGA